CCGCAAUGUCUGGGUAGGGGAGACUGUGUCAGGAGUGGCUGAAAUUUGCUAUCAAUACCAGUAUUGAACUGUGUCUAUUCAAGCCACGAAACACCUCCUGACCCCAAGAAAAGAAGGAAAAAAGAAAAAAGGAAAGAGGAAAGGGAAAAAGAAGAAUGAAGGAAGAAAGGAGGAAGGAAGAAGAAAAAGGAAGAAGAAAGCUGCAAGGAAGGAGGGAAAGAAGGAGGAAAGAGGAAGAACAGAAGGAACUUUUAAAGCCCAGGAACACAUGCUGUCAGAGUGGUGACGUCAUGGCCCCUGCCCAUUGGCUGUCGGAGCAGUGACAUCAUCAUACCUGCUGGAAGUUGCUGCCAUACCCCUGAGAGAGAAUGAGACAGAAGUAACAUGUUAACAUUGUCACGAACAGAGUUUUCACCUUGAAGAUGCCUUGAAAGUGUAUCGGGGCCCCAGAGCUCUCUGGACCACUUUGAGAACCACUCAGUCCUCUAAACUGCUGAAAACUGGUGCCUUUGUGAACACAAAUCAGGGCAACUUGGAGUUUCUGUGCUGGAAGGACGGCUUCAGAGGAGCUCAUCGUGGCCAGAAAAAUGCAGGAGGAUGAAGAGGUGAAUCUGGGAGGCAGACAGGAACAAUCAACUGAACAAAUACAGGAUGCCAGCCUGUGUGAAGUGUAGCAGAGGGCGUGCAAAGACAUCGCUCUGCCCUCGGGCUUCUGAAGAAGCCUGUGCGCGCGCGGCCAGGAAUGCAGGGCGCAGCGACCUCUCGACCCACGGCCAGCGCACCGCCCCAGCGCCACAGCCUGGGAUCCCAGAGCCACAGCCUGGGAUCCCUGAGCCACAGCCUGGGAUCCCUGAGCCGGCCCGGCCGCCACGAACACUCAGGGCCACGUGGCCUGACGUCUGCAGUGGGAGAUUCAGACGGUAAGCAUUCAAAGUGAGGCGAGAGAGCCAAGCAGCGCCGCCGGGACACACCGGGGCCACUCUCACGCUUCGGCCCUGGGGAUGUGCGCACCGGCACACACAGCAGGGUGUAUGCACACAAAAGGGUGCGCACACACACAGGGGCGCACACGCAGCCUUUGCAUGCACAGAAACACCUCAGGUGGGGCACACAUACACACAUUGGUGUACAAACACACACUAUGGUCUUUUCAAACCGAUGCACAUAGUAGGUGGUUUUUGCACACAAGGAGACCUACACUCACAUUCCAGAAGCCUGCACAUUGUGCACCCCUACCCACGUAUAACUCCAGUGGUGUACACACAAAACAUAGCUGGUUGUGUACCCAAAUAAAAGGGGCGCACAUAUCCAUGGCACAGCGUGCACACAGGCACAAUAGUGGAGUGUUGUACUCACGAGGGACUCCAAACACAGCUCCAUCGCCUUGGCGGACAGAGGCUCACAGAGGGCCCGAAGUCCUGGACACAGAAUGCCAGCCCCUGGCUCCCUGGGCUGGAGGAGAAACCUUGGUUCCUCCCUCCCUUCUUAGCCCCCGCCCAUCCCGGCCUGGCCUCUCAGGACUGAGUCUCCUGCAGAUGUGAAGGGCUGGGAAAAGCUGCACAGAGAGGACGUUGAGGGGUGCAGUGGGGGGCCUCUUUUGGGGCUUGUGUGUGUGUUAAACCGUGACAUGAGGGGCUAAAGGACUGGAAGCUGUUGCCUGGAGAACCGGAGUGCCCAUAGGGGCUCCAAGGCUGAUCCAAGCAGCGCCUGGCCUCCCCAGUCCUGCUCCUGGCCGCGGGUGGCCGCCAGCCAGCCCUGUGUCCAUGCCAGCUCCACCACCUCCCUCUGGACACAGUGUUCUCUCUUGGGAUACGGGGCAAACGUGAGCAUCCCAGCCCCGUGGGAACCAGGGCAUCCUGCCAACCCUUUCAUUCAUUCACUUAUCCAUCCAGUCAUUUAUUCAUUCAUUCAGGAACUGUUUGCUGACUGCCUACAACAUGCCAGGCACCACAUGCCAGCAGAGGCCAUCGAGACACUCUGCCUCUGUCCCCAGUGCCCCACAUAUUUCCAGCUCACAGAUACGUUUUGUUUGGCCUUGCGACAAUUUUAAAGCUUGUAAAAUAAUAAAGUAAUAUAAUUUUAGUAAUAUUAAAAUGACAUUAAUUAAAAUUAUGUGAACCCUGAAAAUCUGAGACCGGUCUCAGUUAAUUUAAAAAGUUUACUUGGCUGGGUGUGGAGGCUCACGCCUGUAAUCUCAGCACUUUGGGAGGCUGAGGCGGGCGGAUCACA
Molecule: long non-coding RNA, 2229 nt
Filed under: Homo sapiens (human)
Lineage: Eukaryota; Metazoa; Chordata; Mammalia; Primates; Hominidae
Description: non-protein coding lnc-KLF15-3:1
Source: RNAcentral